AUCUAGCUGACGAGUCCUAAAAUAAGACUUAAUGUGCGUCCUGGAU
This 46-nucleotide non-coding RNA is filed under the name Schistosoma bovis. Lineage: Eukaryota; Metazoa; Platyhelminthes; Trematoda; Strigeidida; Schistosomatidae. The record is from RNAcentral. RNAcentral also lists the same sequence under 1 other name.